UAAGAACUUAAUUAAAUAUUAAUAAUUUAAGCUUGUCAUGCUUAAGUCAUCUAUCAUGGGAUACUUCUUA
Molecule: transfer RNA, 70 nt
Filed under: Lyreidus brevifrons
Lineage: Eukaryota; Metazoa; Arthropoda; Malacostraca; Decapoda; Lyreididae
Description: tRNA-Asp
Source: RNAcentral